UGCUAAUAAUGCUAGUAAAUGCUAAAUAAAAAAAUAUUUAAAAUGUCUAUACCUUUGACUCCAAGAGAUCUCAUUGUUAGGCAUAUACUUCUAUACUCUAAGAUGAUAACCAAUAAAAUGAAAGUCUCAUACACAACAAAAUAUGUUUACCACUACUCUUUGUAAUGGCAGGGAACUGGAAACAAAAUAGAUGCCCACGGAUUGGGGAGAGAAAUAAACAAAUGAAGAACAUGAAGUAAUGAAAUACUUAUUGCUGUGCUUUAAAGAAACAAUGAAUAUAAAAAAUAUGGAGCACUGGAAGACUUGAGAUAAAAAGUAAUCUCAACAAAAUCAUGAAAACAUAUGCAUUGAUAAUGAUAAUAUAAAUGGCAAGAAUAAUCACAUCAUCAAUACCAAUACUGUGAUAUAAUGAGUAUGCUUGGUCUCAAAGAAGAAAUAUAGGGAGGCAUGAUCUUCUGGAUCUCCUUUACAACCCUCGUAAAGAGCCUGCCAUCACAGCCACAACCACAGCCACAGCCACCACCACCACCCAGGCCAACUGAUUAAUUACUACUGAUGGUCAGCAAGCGCUAGGCAGGUGGCCAAACUUUUCCCUAGGCGGGAUCCCAUUACAGGGCACUGUGAAUACAGGUGUGAAGGACUCGGGCGCUGGGACAUAUUCCCACCCAGAGGAGGUGAGUGUCCCUUCGCAGGGUUGUGUUAGUUGCCUGCUUCCCUCUUCUUCUCUGAAGGGGGACCCCAGUGCUGGAGAGCGUCCCCAAAGUAGCCUGGCAGGGUUCCGCGACAAGACCGUUGCUAAGCCUCCAGCUCCUUCCCCAAAGCUGCAACAACAGUCCCUGAACCCUUCAGCCUACAUCCUUACACUCUGAUCCACACAGUGGUUUGAACCCCACCUUGGGCCACAGACGUAUCGGUUUGUAGGGGAGAACUCCUCUUCCCCGGACUAAACCAGCAGCAAUUCACAGCCCGAGCUGGGGAUGGAGCCCUGGGCUAGGUGCCAGCUCCCCUGUGUCCUAUUCCCGGUCCUGCGGGUGACUCACUCUGGGGCUUGGUGGCCUCCCCUCCCAUGCUGGGGCUGCUUCUCUUUUCUCAGCUCCCUCCAUCCUUGGCCGGGACUACUCAGACUCUGACAUUUAAGGGAACCCCCCAGAGAGCGGUCAGGGUUGCCAAGGAGAGAAGUCUCUGGCUCCAAAGAUUGAGGUAUGGGGGGCUAGAACAAGUGGACUAGACUGAGGACAGAGAGACAGAGAUCUUAGAAGAAACUGUAGAAGAAACUCCCCGUAUUAAGGGACCAGGGGAGGAAGGGCAGGUUUUGGAGUAAGGAGGGAGAAGUACAAUAGACCUGGAGGCAAGGGGGUCAGCUGGAUUGAGAGCCAAGCCUAGAGACGGGAGGUUCUGUGUUCAAAUUUGAACUUAGACACUUCCCAGCUGUGUGACAUUGGACAAGUCAUUUAACCUCCAUCAUCUAGCCAUUACCAGGUCUGCCUUGGAACCAAUACACAGUGUGGAUUCUAAGAUGGAAGGUAAGGGUUUAAAAAAAAAAAAGAGAGAGAGAGACCUGGAGACAGUCUUGUUCUGGAAGGAAGGAAGGUUGGUAGAGAAAGUGGGGUGGGGUUAGUGGAGGAGGCAUUCUGCCAAUAUUCCUGGCCAGUGGGAAGGAGGGGAUGAAAGGGCCCUUCAUAUAGGGGCAGUGCACAGGAAACCCAUCCAACCACCAGUGUGUGAUCUGAGAAAACGGCUGAGACCUGCAGCCCCCAGGUUGGCAAAUCCUACAUGGCAUAGUCGGAAGGCAAUCACCAACUGGAACAGCUGGUCCACACCCCUUCUCUCCUGCUCCUCCCCCUUCUUCUUCCCCCGCUGGCUGUUGGC
RNAcentral lists this long non-coding RNA (1869 nucleotides) under Monodelphis domestica (gray short-tailed opossum). RNAcentral describes it as "lncRNA (ENSMODG00000030190.2)". Lineage: Eukaryota; Metazoa; Chordata; Mammalia; Didelphimorphia; Didelphidae. The record is from RNAcentral.